UACAGAGGGGGCAAGCGUUGUUCGGAAUUACUGGGCGUAAAGGGCGCGUAGGCGGCCUGCUAAGUCGAACGUGAAAUCCCCAGGCUCAACCUGGGAACUGCGUCCGAUACUGGAUGGCUUGAAUCCGGGAGAGGGAUGCAGAAUUCCAGGUGUAGCGGUGAAAUGCGUAGAUAUCUGGAGGAAUACCGGUGGCGAAGGCGGCAUCCUGGACCGGCAUUGACGCUGAGGAGCGAAAGCCAGGGGAGCAAACGGG
Molecule: ribosomal RNA, 253 nt
Filed under: uncultured bacterium
Lineage: Bacteria
Description: partial 16S ribosomal RNA
Rfam family: Bacterial small subunit ribosomal RNA
Source: RNAcentral